RNAcentral lists this long non-coding RNA (373 nucleotides) under Ananas comosus (pineapple). RNAcentral describes it as "long non-coding RNA (ACOM_LNC004956)". The record is from RNAcentral. Lineage: Eukaryota; Viridiplantae; Streptophyta; Magnoliopsida; Poales; Bromeliaceae.
AGGGCUGUUGUGCUCUCAUGAGUACGGAGGCCUCUGUCCUCCUAAGCUAGUUUUGAUAAUGAAAUUUUCAAAUCAACGAUCGGCUCCGUUAGGUUUAAUCUAGCAUUUUAUUUACCUAGCGAUUGAAAAUGUUCAAAAUUAAUAAUUUUUAAUGGUUGAUGUCGGCUGCUUCCAAGUUUAAGGGCAUAGAAGUAUCCAAAUCAGAUUAAAUUUUAAGAAAAUUCUUUAUGCUAUCUAUAGUAAGAUCAAUAUCUCUGAUCGAAAAUUUUUGUACUAUAUCAUCGCUUUUUGUGAGUUUUAUUUUUAGCCGUUGAUUUUGAACGUUUUCGAUCACUAGAUAAAUGAUAUGUAGUUAGCCAACAAAAUUAAAUUA